Molecule: ribosomal RNA, 775 nt
Filed under: bacterium Cc35
Lineage: Bacteria
Description: bacterial SSU rRNA
Rfam family: Bacterial small subunit ribosomal RNA
Source: RNAcentral
CGAGCGGACAGAUGGGAGCUUGCUCCCUGAUGUUAGCGGCGGACGGGUGAGUAACACGUGGGUAACCUGCCUGUAAGACUGGGAUAACUCCGGGAAACCGGGGCUAAUACCGGAUGCUUGUUUGAACCGCAUGGUUCAAACAUAAAAGGUGGCUUCGGCUACCACUUACAGAUGGACCCGCGGCGCAUUAGCUAGUUGGUGAGGUAACGGCUCACCAAGGCAACGAUGCGUAGCCGACCUGAGAGGGUGAUCGGCCACACUGGGACUGAGACACGGCCCAGACUCCUACGGGAGGCAGCAGUAGGGAAUCUUCCGCAAUGGACGAAAGUCUGACGGAGCAACGCCGCGUGAGUGAUGAAGGUUUUCGGAUCGUAAAGCUCUGUUGUUAGGGAAGAACAAGUACCGUUCGAAUAGGGCGGUACCUUGACGGUACCUAACCAGAAAGCCACGGCUAACUACGUGCCAGCAGCCGCGGUAAUACGUAGGUGGCAAGCGUUGUCCGGAAUUAUUGGGCGUAAAGGGCUCGCAGGCGGUUUCUUAAGUCUGAUGUGAAAGCCCCCGGCUCAACCGGGGAGGGUCAUUGGAAACUGGGGAACUUGAGUGCAGAAGAGGAGAGUGGAAUUCCACGUGUAGCGGUGAAAUGCGUAGAGAUGUGGAGGAACACCAGUGGCGAAGGCGACUCUCUGGUCUGUAACUGACGCUGAGGAGCGAAAGCGUGGGGAGCGAACAGGAUUAGAUACCCUGGUAGUCCACGCCGUAAACGAUGAGUGCUAAG